AUCAAGCCUGACCCCGCGCUCUCACCCAGUGUCAUGUAAGCAGACAGGUGUGCACAUAGAUGUGGAGAUUCGGACAUACUCCUUGACACAGUGAUUUGUUAUUAUCAUCAAGAAAAAUAAACAGAACAAAAUGUCUUUAGUAUGGAAAUACUUUAAAAUUAACAAUGAGAACCAAAGCAUGGCAGACUGCAAACUGUGCUCUACUAAAUUAUCAAGAAGAGGUAGGAAAAUGGGUUCAUUCAACACCAAUAAUCUAGUUAUAAACAUCUGAAAAUUAAAUGGAAGAGCACAAUGAAAUUCCCACCAGCAGCAAUCUUCAACAACCCAAUGUGCAGCAAACACUAGCAGAGAGAGAAAAUGUCAAACGGUAACCCCCGUCCAGUGAAAGUAACAGAGGCUAUUAACAAGUACAGUGGAAACUGCUUAUAGUGAUCACAUGUGUCUUGGUGAAAUUGAUCACUACAUGUGGAUGAUCGUUAUAACUGUUUUUUUUUUUUAGAUCACCAUCUAAUUCACAUUUUGUAUAAUUAUUACAUGAAUAUUAGGUAAUAAAACAGACAUCAUAGCUAUUUACUGAAUUUUAUUGAAUCUUGAAGAAUAUAUUACAGCAGUUUCAAAUGCUUUUCAAAUGAUAAAUUUCAAUAUAACUGUUUAGCACUGUUGCCUCACGCCUGAAUGGUGUGUGAGUGUGCCCUGCGAUGGGCUGGCCCCCCAUCCUGGGUUGUUCCCUGCCUCGUGACCAUUGCUUCCAGGAUAGGCUCCGGACCCCCCGCGACCCAGUAGGAUAAGCAGUUUGGAAAAUGGAUGGAUGGAUGGAUGGUAUUAUCACCGCUGCAUCUCAUUGGCUCAUUUUUGCCAGUUUAUCAUAAGCUUUGUUGAGUGUAUAUUUGUCACUGAAAGAAAAGCACUUUUAAUUAUUUUCAUGUGUUGUCAUGUGUAAAAAGACCCAAAAUGAACACUGUUAGCUGGUGAAGAUCGCUUACAAACAUUACGUAAAAGGAACUUGGUGUAUUAACAGGAUCAGGUUGGGUCGUGAAACAAAAUGGAACAAAUUGGACACCGUCAUAAAAUAUGGCAUAAAAUGUAUUGCAUGAGCACUUGUGCAGACACGCAAAGUACAAAUUGGGCAUGCGCAGGAAGAUAUCUCAUAAGGCGAAGUUAUCAGAAAACUUUGGUCAUGAACAGUGUUUUUGGGCAGCGUGCGUUGUUACGUGCCAAUUUUCUAAAAAUUAUGAAAAACAUCUUUAAACGAAUUUAAUGUCAAACUUGUAAAUUGAGAGCUCAGGAAGCAAGAACUACCUGUACUGACUGUGCAGACCAUUGUGCGUGGGUUUGUAUGUACUGACUGCAGACCAUUAUGUAUGGAUUUGGAUACUGGAUACUGUUUGCAUUUGUGCGUGGGGCUGGGGGGUAUUUUGUGGUUAUUGUUUAACCCGAUAUUUAAAAAUUACAAUUGUAUAUUGUCUUUUUAGACAUUGCAGAGCCCUAAUUGGUAUCAGUAUUGGCGUGCCAGCAUUGAUACUCGUCCUUGGUCUGGAAAAAAUAGUAUUGUUACAUCCCUAGUUAUUAUGAAUAUGUUCUGCAUACAUAACUUUUGCCAGUCUGGCAGGCUUCUCCUGUUUCACCAGAAAAUACCUAAAUACUGAGAAAUUACAUAUCAUAUAAAAUUCUCAGAAUACAAGAAAUCUUGCUUAUGUUAUAUAAUGAAACUGCUUGUUGCUGAACUAAUCUGUCAAAGAACUCCCACAUCACAUCCUGAUGGGUUCAGAACAAAAAACCAUCACAUGCACCGCUAGAUGGGUGUGUGAUUCUGGCCAAAUAAGGGAGAUGAUGCACUAAUUUUGUAAGUUACAGAGUAAGAGUUGUAUUUCACUGCAGUAUGAAUUGGCAUAUUUACUAGAAACCCACACAGCUGUUACGUGUGUGAAGGUUAAAGUUGGUCACCAGUCUUGCAGUCAGCUGGCUGCUACAUAAUUCAGGGUAGGUACCUGUACAGAAAUAUAAAUGAUACAGCUGAACCUUGUAUCUUCAGACCAGUUAUAGAUUUGAGGUUGCUAUCGCUUUCUUGUAGAACCUGAGUGUGAGUUGUCAAAGACAAAUGACCAGACCUUAGUUAACACAUUUUCAGGAGUUAUGCUUUUGUUGUUUUUGGGUGCAGCUCAGAAAAUUGAGUCUCUGCCUGCCACCAAGUUAAUGUUUUUAUCAGUCAAUUUUUCUGCCCGUUUCAUUUACUGUUCAAUACUAAACUACUUUUAAUAUCAACAUGGAAUUUAUUCAUAUCAGUUCAGCUUUGUACUUGUUUAUUUUUAUAAAAUAUACAAUAAUUACGUAUGUAUUUAUUUUUUGGAAAGUUGUCUUCCUUGUAGGGCUGCACAAUUGAUCGAAUUUUAAUCACGAUUUUGGCUGCCACAAUUAAAUUGAGAUGAUCGUCGACGAUAUUAACAUUUGAAUAGCGGGCUCUGCUGCAUAUCAAAUCAAGCACUUUCUCAACCAAAAGUCAGCCAACCACCAAGGGGCGAACGAAAGCAUAGACUGUAUGAGCAACAUCCUCAAAUUAUGACAGUGAGACGUAAUGUCGGGAGCAGAAUGUCAUAUGUUUUUGUGCUUAUUAAUUUAAGUAUUUCCAAAGAUUAAUCUUAAUCCCACAACAGUAAUAAAAUAAAAGCCUUGCUUUAACAUAAAUAAUAAAAGAAUAGAUCGCUUUAAUCGCUUUUACAGUUGGGUAUGUGCACGCGGUCUUAUUUAGAAAAGAUACAAAAAGAGACGCAUAUAAUGUUUAUCCAUUCGUUUUGUAUUUGUCCGAGUAACAAAGCAAAAGAAUGAUAAGCCGCUUCAGUCGAAAACUGCAUUUACUUCUCAUUUAAAAUAAAAAGCAGGGUUGGCAACUUUGUCAGCUGCAUGGAGCGAGAUUUUCUGUUCUUUGUUCCGCGAAUACAUUUACAUGUAUGUAAGUUUUAUUACCUUGGAAAUAGUCUGUGGAGUCUGCAAACUGCCGUAACGUUUUUGAUGCAUCUAAUUUUAAGUUCAGAAUGGAAUAUCGAUUUGCCGUAAGAUUUCUUGCGUGAGAGUGUGAAAGAGUUUGCAACCCUGAAUAUGUACAUUUUUUUGUUUCACCUGAAUUGACUUGUACAGAAAAUAACAAUAUACAGUAGCAGAAACCUCGACCAACAUGAAAUCACCAAUAAACGACUUCUAUUUAUUCAACAUUUUAUAAAACGCAUGCUACGUUUAAAAAAUUCCAGCUUUACGGUUUCAGGACAGAACCGCCACUCUGUUAUGAACAUUACGGCUUUUGGAGUGUUGUUAGCUGCUGUUAUUAACACUAAUAACACAUUAGCGCAAACAAAAGGGCUGCAUACACCGAAGUAGUUCUUGCUUGUUCAUCGGCGUGGGAAAAGGCGGUUCUAGUGCUGUUAGGGGGUAAUUGGCGUUACCUGCAAGAUCGCUAUUUUUCUUUUUGCUGCAAUUGUUUUCAUUGUUACUUUAUUUAACUUGACACACCACAUCUUUAAAUUCUCAUCCUUGCAUUAGAAUAUAGACCAGUUAAUAUUGAUGGUAUCUCAUGCUGUGUCAUGUGUUUUAAAAUUACUACAAACUGAAUAUUUAACUGAAGCUAGACAUAAAAAAAAGUUAAAUCGCAAAUCACCCUCUGCACACCACUUUCUCCAAACAGAAGAGCAUGUUCGGUGAUAGGCUCCUGUCUGUCAUGCAGAACAGACAGGCUCAGAAGGUCCUUUGUCCCUAGGGCCAUACAGCUCUUCAAGGCCACAUGGAUGGGGAGGAGUGUGAUGGACUGAAGUGUUUAGGCCUGUAUAGCAGACUGCCCUUCUGUUUUCCUUUUUAUUGUUGCGGUAUGUACAGUAUGUGUGCAUGAAUGUCAUUGGUCUGUGUUUCUAUAUGUACGUAUAGUUUGUAUAAGCUACUGAACACCUAAAUUUCCUUCUUGAUAAAUUAAGUAUCUAUCGAUCGAUCGAUCGCAAUGUCUGCCAGAAAAAUCGUUAUUACAUAUUUCCCUAAAUCGUGCAGUAGUACUUCCUUGAGGUCAUCUCAGGGUGAGUUAAGCUACUCCAUGCCCCUCCAUGCUGCCGCGUCUGAGUUAUUUUUGUAUCCACGGGUUCCGCAUCUGCAAAUUCAACCAACUCUGGCUUGAAAUUAUUCAAAAAGCAAAACUUGUAUUUGCUGCGCGCCUAGCAAUACACUGAUUCCAUGUGAAUUUAUAUGAUGAGCAUAAAAAGAAACUCACCAAGGUUUUCUUUCGGGUAGUUUUCAAUUUGCCUGAUGUGGUGUAUUAUCUUACGAUAUUUUAAGGUAAGUACGUAAGAAUCAGUCACCUGAUCAUGAUUGAUUGAGAUUUGAAGGGUUGGCUGAAUUUGUGGGGAUCACAAUAUGCAAUAAAGGUGACCAAGAAUACUCUGGUCAUCAGCUUUAAGAUAUCUUUUGUGGCUUCUUGCUGACAUCAUACCUUGGUGAGAAUCCUCUCAGAAAAUCACUAGAAGUUAAAAGACACCAUGCCAACGUGAGCCAGCAGCUGUGCCUUUGGGCAAUUCAUAGUUUUCAAGUAACGUCAAAUCCUGAUAGCCUGGAACCAAGGCUUUAUGCUCCAUUCCAUUUGAACUCAUGUGUCAGAAAUUCUGAGUUUGUUGUCGGGAAUUUCAAAUGGAACACCCGCUGAAGUCAGAAUUCACGGAGGAACCUCUGCAGCCCUGACCUCAGAAUUCAAGAUGGCCGCACCCUUCAUCAACAGAAGUGAGCUCUGCAGCUGUAGUUAUGUAUUAUAUAUUAGCACUUAUGUCUUAUUUGUGGCUCAUUAAAUCAGUUGUACACACCACACUGUCCAGCCACUAUCUGUGGACGUGUUGCUACUGUCUUUGUAUGUGCAAAAUACUGCAUAAUAUGUUCUUUUCAGUUGGUCUUGCUAUCAAUGGCUAACAAUGAACCUGGCUAGAACUGGAGCCUGUUUCAGAAAGCAGGAUUUCUUGUUUAGCUCGAUAAAUUGUUGGAUUUAAUGUGGUCUGGACUAAAUUUAAGUAAACUAAGAAAAAAUGCAUUUAAACUGUGGAAUGUACCAUAAAUCCAACAAGUUAUCUGGCUAAGCAUAAAAAUCUUGCUGCUUAAAGCAGGUACCUGGUAUUGCUAAAUGGCUUUCCGACCUAUUGUACUGAAAUGUGGUUAAUCGAGUGUGAUGGAGCUGGGAAUGACAACUGACCUCCAAGGUACAUGGAACGCAGCGCUAGUACCUGGCUCCAGGUUCCUGGGCUGUCUUAACUGAGAACCUUUGUAGCUCCUGGCCACUUUUGUGUUUUACUUUCUCACCACACAACAGGAACUGGGACCUUUAUGUUAAAAAAGCAUAAGAGAUGAGCAUGGGAGGCUAAAAGCUGGUAGAUUAAAAUUCAGAGGUAAUUUCAUACAAAACUACAACGCCACCCCAAAACAACUGAGGAUGAGCAAACGGUUCUGUUAUUGAACAAGUCAUUAUCAAAAAGUCACCCACAGACUUUUAUUUAUAUUUAAUAUAUACGACCCGCGACAUUUUUAUAGUUCAUUAUUAAAUCUGGCCAGCAAUUUGAUCUUUUGUUUCCCACAAGAUAAAAACGAUGUAUUGUUAUUCCUCAAACAAUGUAUUGUCAUUUCACUAAUAAGCACAUCCGACAUUUACCACUGGCCCCACUGAUGUUAGACAAAGGUAUUUCAGUUAUCGUUCGAAUUUACUAAUGCAGAGAUAGGGAGAGCCCAGCAAAAGUAUUCAUUAAUUCAUGUAUGUCGGACAUAAUAUGAUGAGUUGAAUUGGAAUUACCAAAUUGACCAUAGGUGUGCAUGUGUGAGUGAAUGGUGUGUGCGCGUGCCCUGUGAUGGGUUGGCACUAGAGGUCGACAAAUAUAUCGGCCGGCCGACAUUUGGCAUUUUUUAAUGUAUUGGCAUCGACCGAUAUCCGAGCGUAGUACGCCGAUUUACAGACAGGCACGUCUGCGGGCAGCCCAGUGUUAUUGUUGCGGUGGAACACGUGACCCAUGCUGCCUCGUGCAGGACCCCAGUCAGAAGAUUUGGAAGAAUCCUGGGAGAAAACGUAAUUGCUGUCUGAUGGCUGAACAAAAAUCUAAUCCUGUAUGGCAGCAUUUACCAGGCCAACACCAGGAAAAGCCAGGUGCAAUAUCUGCAGCAGACUGGUGCACUUUCUUUCCCUCAGAAAUUAGGAGUUUGCUGCUAUAUUGUGCACUAAAAGAUUCUGAUGCUGCUAUUUUUGUUUACAAGUUGUAUUGUGUUUUUAAGUCUAUAUUUAAAUUUACACAAAUCAGUAUUCAAUAAAUGCUAAGUUGAGAAA
Brienomyrus brachyistius is the source of this 6322-nucleotide long non-coding RNA. RefSeq lists it as uncharacterized. The transcript is spliced from 2 exons. The record is from RefSeq and is a predicted model, not a curated record. NCBI's taxonomy places the organism in Eukaryota, Metazoa, Chordata, Actinopteri, Osteoglossiformes, Mormyridae.